Molecule: long non-coding RNA, 912 nt
Organism: Archocentrus centrarchus (flier cichlid)
Lineage: Eukaryota; Metazoa; Chordata; Actinopteri; Cichliformes; Cichlidae
Exons: 3
Source: RefSeq, a predicted model, not a curated record
ACUUCCGUAACGCUGUGUGCGUAUCCGAAAGAAAAGGGCACUCCACCGGCUUUAAAGUCACCAAGGUGGAUUUUGAAGUUCACCUCCAAAAGGCUUCUGAAUAACACAGAAUGAUGUGGGAUUCCUGGAAGGAUCCACCAUUAAAAGAAAACAAGGAGAAAGGGGGGGGGAACGGUCGCUCUAGAAUUGCCGCCUCCUCCACCUCCCUCUCCCACCUUCGCCCUUUUUUGCCCAAGAGCCUCUGAUGCCAUCUGCACUGCCAAUGGAGGCUCUUUGCCUGUGCCAGGAGGCGGACAAAGACCCUGCCGGAUCCCUGGAGUAUGGGCUUGCACAGAGGAGCCAUCUUGGGAGAUGUUUGCCGUGACACCUAAAAUGGCUGGGCUGGCACACGAGGAUGGGACAGGACCUGCAUCUCUGCACUCUGUAGGACUCUGCUUUGGCAUAAAGACAGCGUGGAAGGAAACUCAUCAAAAUGUCGUCAUGAUUUCAGGAGUCCUAACAGAGCAUAAAAUUUAGAGAGGAUCCGUCAACUGAAACAUGAGUGUACUGUCGAAGUAAAGUAGAAAGCAGCGGGUUUACUUUAAAACACAUUGAUCAAGAUGCCUCUGUUAAUCCCAGAAAACUUAUUUCUUAUGCUCAUUUUAAGACAAUAAUAGUAAUAAGGCAAUAAUGACGUGUGAUUUGACACGUUUAGACAUAUCUAUUGUUUAAAACUGGUAAUAAAACUCUUUUUUUUUUUUGCACUUGAUAAUUUGUGUAUAUUUUCACAGUUAAUUAUUGCUUUUAAAAAAAUAUUAAAUAUAUCCCUCAUGUCUCCAAAAUGCAGUUUGGAUAAAUAUAAAUUGUGUUAUUAUUAUUACUUCUGUCAGUGAGAGCUACUUAAAUAACAGAAUAAAAAAUAUGAAAAUAUCA